GAAUCUAAAAUAUAACUGUAAUAUUGCUUGAAUUUCGCAAGAAGAUCGUUGCUUAAAAUUAUGAGGAGAAAAGUGUAUACCUCGUAAAAUACUGAAAUAUAGACCCUCAAAUACUAUUGAAUACUAGGUUCCUUCAGUUUACAGCACAGUUACCAGGGGUCCAGUCAGCAUCCAGUUUUCAGCCACGGAUACUCACCUUUUCAAACACAAAAUGUAUUUGUCAUCCUUAUGCACUUCCAGGAAUAAAGAUAACCGCCUAUUAGAGGAGAAUGAAUUUCUAUCGGCAUGUAUAGUUACGGA
Molecule: non-coding RNA, 300 nt
Organism: Cinara cedri
Lineage: Eukaryota; Metazoa; Arthropoda; Insecta; Hemiptera; Aphididae
Source: the annotation of a GenBank genome assembly